CCUGAAGUGGGCAAGCCACCCUUUUUUUAGUUUAAUAAAUAUAUGUUUAAAAAAAAAUCUAUAUCAGUUGGAACCUGUUGCCUUACACCAGAUGGUAGUUCUUCUCCUAUUCAUCAACCCUGCAAAUGUUUGAAAUUUUUUUACUUAGACACUGCAAUAAUCGAAAGCUACCUUCAGGCAUUUUUUCUGUAAUAUAAACCCUUGGAUGGGCCGGAAAAAAAGUUUUUCGGAUCUAGCUAGCGUGGCCCGCGCGCGGCAGCCGUGGAUUCUUUAACUAAGUGUCUUAAAUCCUUUCCUAUUCGUUGUCUAUGUUUAGUGCUAAACCACUACGGAUGCAAUAUACGUAAGGCCACGUAAGGACUCCGCAAAUGUAUGGGAAAUAUAGCGGACAUUCAGCCGAUUUUUGUUUGAAUGUAAUCUGAUUGAAAUGGGGACUUGUUCAAACUAUGCAGCUGUCUCAGUGACCCAGAAUGGGAGGAUGGGAUUCUCUACAGGAAUGGUGGCGCACUGCACCUCAGCCACGUCCAGGGGCAUCUGUGCCCAUCUGGAUUCCAGUUAGACGCACUUCACAGCAAGAGGGCUACCACUUCCACCAGGCUCAAUGGGUGACAGGGAACAAUGUCUCCCCAGAGGUAUUUCAGGCCCAGGGUAUGACUGGUGGAAUUUCCAGAGGUUGGUAAUCUCAAACAGCCAGGUGUGGUUUUGCCUGCAGUGUUUGACCCCUGUACUGAUUACUGACUUGAACAUGGCCUCUGUAAAGGUGACUGGGAGCGCAAAAUGUCCGGAAGAGAGGUUUGGACUCCAGGACAUUGAGCAAGUGUGCUCUGCUCUUCCCCUCAACUGACAGAAGGACAUGCUGAAACCGGUGGAUCGUGAACAUGCUUCUAUGGUGCAAAGCUCAUGUGCAGACCCCAAUAGCCUCCUUCACACAACCACCAAACAGGAAGGUAUAUUAAACACCUGGCCAAAUAAAAAAAAAACAGUCCUGAAAAUCUCUUGGAGAGCCAACAACUGUGGCAGCACUUAACCAUGGAAAGUGACCCAACCUGUGUCUCAGUAACUGUGCUGCCACCUGCAGUUGUGCCCUCACAAUAUGCUCCUCUCACUGAAGCUGCAAUUGAGAAGAUUGUUAUUGGACUGAUAGAAAAGCAGCAACAAUCAGAGCAACAACAGAACAAAGAAAAAAAUUACAAGAACCUGCCUUUCAUGUUGCCAACUCAAGUCCUUUUACACGAAUGAUGGCUCCUAAAAUUUUUUUCUUUGUUCAGUGAGCAUGUUAGGUACUUUUACUGCUCCACAAAAGUAUUUAAAACAUAUGGAGCAGGGGGCCUCACAACCCCCAAAAUGUAUUAUGAGGAUUUACUGUCUACCCCGUUCUUUCAACAAGACCUUCAAUUGACAAAAUGGAACAACAGAAAGACAAGCAGAUGUGGCACACUGGCCGUUUGUGCUGGUUCUGUCAUUUGGAAGUAAAACAGGGACCUAACAGUCCUCACAUUCAUUCAGGGUUCCCCGGACUGGCAGGGAAAUAUAUUUAUGGUUGUCAAUUUACCAGGCCAAGGGUAUGGAUAAAGAAAUUACCUGGAAGGAGUUUUUUAUGAAGAUGAGAAGAAGGUUCAAGUUCAAAAGGUUUAUUUGUCAUUUGCAAUAACAAGUUACGGCAAUUAAAUGCUUGGUUUUCCUACUCCCGACAGUGCAGUUAAAAGUUAAAAAGUAACAGUAACUAAAAUAAAUAACACAAUCAAUCAGUAAUAACACUGUACAAAAACACAUCAAUAAUAAUAACUACACAACUAUACAACCAUAGUGCAAUGUAAAAUUGACAGGUGUGCAUGAUAUAAAGUGACAGAUGAGCAUGGGACUAUGGAUGGAAGGGAGGAGGGGUUCCUGAGAAGAUGGAUGGAUAGAAAGAGGAAAUAAUAUUGAUUUACACACACA
Long non-coding RNA from Esox lucius (northern pike), 1938 nucleotides. NCBI's taxonomy places the organism in Eukaryota, Metazoa, Chordata, Actinopteri, Esociformes, Esocidae. The record is from Ensembl.